CUGCAUCCACUGAUAUACCUUGAACAGUUUGUGGUUGUUCUUCUGGUUUGCACUAGGAUGCAAAAGAAAAUGCUCUCUGCACUUCCUGCCUGUCUUUGUGGCAGUCCAGAUUGAAUUGGGGAGUACAUGU
Molecule: small nucleolar RNA, 130 nt
Filed under: Cricetulus griseus (Chinese hamster)
Lineage: Eukaryota; Metazoa; Chordata; Mammalia; Rodentia; Cricetidae
Description: Small nucleolar RNA SNORA31 (ENSCGRG00001003073.1, ENSCGRG00015041257.1)
Rfam family: Small nucleolar RNA SNORA31
About the family: ACA31 (SNORA31) belongs to the H/ACA class of snoRNAs which are thought to guide the sites of modification of uridines to pseudouridines. ACA31 is predicted to guide the pseudouridylation of U3713 in 28S rRNA and U218 in 18S rRNA.
Source: RNAcentral